AGCUUUGCGCAGUGGCAGUAUCAUAGCCAAUGAGGUUAAUCCGAGGUGCGAUUAUUGCUAAUUGAAAACUUUAUUAAUUUAGACUGAACAAAACAAAUUUGACUUGAUAUCUGUAUA
Molecule: small nuclear RNA, 117 nt
Filed under: Terrapene triunguis (Three-toed box turtle)
Lineage: Eukaryota; Metazoa; Chordata; Testudines; Emydidae
Description: Terrapene carolina triunguis (Three-toed box turtle) U4 spliceosomal RNA (ENSTMTG00000005091.1)
Rfam family: U4 spliceosomal RNA
About the family: U4 small nuclear RNA (U4 snRNA) is a component of the major U2-dependent spliceosome. The structure of U4 snRNA from yeast and human has been reported.
Source: Rfam by way of RNAcentral